RNAcentral lists this ribosomal RNA (253 nucleotides) under uncultured bacterium. Its description in RNAcentral is "partial 16S ribosomal RNA". It matches the Rfam family "Bacterial small subunit ribosomal RNA", at positions 524 to 776 of the family's 1533-position model. The record is from RNAcentral.
UACGGAGGGUGCGAGCGUUGUCCGGAAUCAUUGGGCGUAAAGGGCACGUAGGUGGCGGGACAAGCGUGCGGUGAAAGCCUGGGGCUCAACCCCGGGUCGGCCGUGCGAACUGUUUUGCUUGAGCACUGUAGAGGCAGGCGGAAUUCCGGGUGUAGCGGUGGAAUGCGUAGAGAUCCGGAAGAACACCGGUGGCGAAGGCGGCCUGCUGGGCAGUAGCUGACACUGAGGCGCGACAGCGUGGGGAGCAAACAGG